UACGGAAGGCAGCAGUGGGGAAUAUUGCACAAUGGGCGAAAGCCUGAUGCAGCUAUGCCGCGUGUAUGAAGAAGGCCUUAGGGUUGUAAAGUACUUUCAUCGGGGAGGAAAAAACAAAACUAAUAAUUUUAUUUCUUGACGUUACCCGAAAAAGAAGCACCGGCUAACUCCGUGCCAGCAGCCGCGGUAAUACGGAGGGUGCUAGCGUUAAUCAGAAUUACUGGGCGUAAAGAGCACGUAGGUGGUUUUUUUAAGUCAGAUGUGAAAUCCCCUGGGCUUAACCUAGGAACUGCAUUUUGAAACUGAAAUACUAGAGUAUCGUAGAGGGAGGUAGAAUUCUAGGUGUAGCGGUGAAAUGCGUAGAUAUCUGGAGGAAUACCUGUGGCGAAAGCGGCCUCCUAAACCGAAUACUGACACUGAGGUGCGAAAGCGUGGGGAGCAAACAGGGAUUAGAUACC
Molecule: ribosomal RNA, 458 nt
Filed under: uncultured bacterium
Lineage: Bacteria
Description: bacterial SSU rRNA
Rfam family: Bacterial small subunit ribosomal RNA
Source: RNAcentral